CUCAGCUUGCAGACAGCCGACUGUGGGACCUUGUGAUCAUAAUACCACAGUCUGGAGGCUAUGAAGUCCAUGAUUAAGAAGCCAGCACGUUUGCUUUCUGGUUCCAAGAUGGCAUACCUUUUUGCUGCUUCCUCCAGAGAGGAGGAACACUGUGUUCUCACAUAGUAGAAGAUGGAAGGAGCAGAUGCAGAUGAGCAUGGCAAUGUGAGAAUAUGUCAGAGGCCCCAGGAUGAAAUGAGCUCAAGUCCCUGAAAUCCCUGUUAGAAGAGUCUUUCCACUGGUUGGGAAUGCUAAUUGUAUUUUGACAACUCAAUGUUUCAGCAACUCAAAAUGUUACAGCUUCUGCAUUGGAAUAAAAAAAGGAAAGAAAACAGAAUUUGUACUCAUAUCAGAAGGCAAUCAAAGAACAUACACAUAAUAUACAUUCUAUUAUAGAGGAGAAGAAAUGCUUACUGCCAAUACCAUGACAGAUAACAAAUUAUCAGGCAUGUAUCUUAGCAUGCAGAGAAGGGACUGAAUGAAUAUGCCCAAAGAUGUGUAACACUCAUUGUCUCUGGGGAGAUGAAGAAGAAGUAUGGAAGAAGUAAGAUGAAGAAG
Molecule: long non-coding RNA, 597 nt
Filed under: Homo sapiens (human)
Lineage: Eukaryota; Metazoa; Chordata; Mammalia; Primates; Hominidae
Description: HSALNT0361848
Source: RNAcentral